AGAGAAUCAAAGAAUUUCCAUCCAUGUCAAUACUGUAUGGUAAAGAAGCCACAUUUUUAUGUUGAUAGGCCUUUAAAAUACUUAAGCUUUAGCUGUUAGGAUAAAAACUGUUCACUUGUUUUUGGGGAAGUCUUUAAAAACCAUAUACAUUACAGCUCUUCAAAUAUAUAUCAUGACAUACAUUAUUAUUGCAGGACUAUUUCUUAAGAAUUUUCUAACUGCCACCUUCCACCCUAGAACUGAAAGAGUAACUCCAUCAUAAAGGGGACAGCUUCUGACAGUCUUGCCUCCACAUAGAAAUGACAAUCUCAUUAAUGAUGCUAAGUUUAUGUUAAGAAAAAUGAGUGAUUCAGAGAAGGCAAUCUGUUACCUGGAGGAAUUUCGAAUUUUUAAAUGAUCAUUGAUCAGAGUUUUUAAGAAUCUCAUGAAAACGGUGGUUCAGAUAACAAGAAGGGAGUUGCAGCCUCCAGUUCCACCAAGUGGCCCAACAGCAACGUGAGAAACAUGGAGAAACCCCAAAUUCCUGGGAACACUCUGGAUGGGCAGAAAGUCAUCACCAAACUGAAAUCUGGGCACCACCUGAUGCAAACCAAUUAAAUUUCAUAGAAGUGGUGAGUGCUGAAGGAAAUAGAGUUAACUGGGAAAGAAAAACCAUGACACUUGCUUCUAAUCUUUCUGCUGUUCUAUCUAUUUCUCUCCUUUUUGUUUCCUCUUCCCAUUAAGACUUUCUCAUUUCUUAGAUGAGUAAUUAAACCCUGACCUCAGGUAUAAAUCUCAGAAGCACUUAUCAAUAAAAACAAACUCACCAACUAACCGGGGGCA
This 822-nucleotide long non-coding RNA is filed under the name Vulpes vulpes (red fox). RNAcentral describes it as "lncRNA (ENSVVUG00000026744.1)". The record is from RNAcentral. Lineage: Eukaryota; Metazoa; Chordata; Mammalia; Carnivora; Canidae.